Molecule: ribosomal RNA, 411 nt
Filed under: Hepatozoon canis
Lineage: Eukaryota; Apicomplexa; Hepatozoidae
Description: bacterial SSU rRNA
Rfam family: Eukaryotic small subunit ribosomal RNA
Source: RNAcentral
AGUUAAUAUGCUUUGUAAUUGGAAUGAUAGAAAUUUAAACCCUUUUUAAAGUAUCAAUUGGAGGGCAAGUCUGGUGCCAGCAGCCGCGGUAAUUCCAGCUCCAAUAGCGUAUAUUAAAAUUGUUGCAGUUAAAAAGCUCGUAGUUGAAGUUCUGCUGAAAGUAACCGGUCUGCUUUUAAUAAAAGUGGUAUCUUGGUAUGUAUUUAGCAAUGAUGUCCUUUGAAGUGUUUUUUACUUUAUUGUAAUAAAGCAUAUUCAGGACUUUUACUUUGAGAAAAUUAGAGUGUUUCUAGCAGGCUGACGCCUUGAAUACUGCAGCAUGGAAUAAUAAGAUAGGAUUUUAGUUCUACAUUAUUGGUUUUAAGAGCUAAAUUAAUGAUUGAUAGGGACAGUUGGGGGCAUUUGUAUUUA